This 632-nucleotide non-coding RNA is filed under the name Trichomonas vaginalis G3. Its description in RNAcentral is "Eukaryotic small subunit ribosomal RNA". It matches the Rfam family "Eukaryotic small subunit ribosomal RNA", at positions 1 to 791 of the family's 1831-position model. Lineage: Eukaryota; Parabasalia; Trichomonadida; Trichomonadidae. The record is from Rfam by way of RNAcentral.
UACUUGGUUGAUCCUGCCAAGGAAGCACACUUAGGUCAUAGAUUAAGCCAUGCAAGUGUUAGUUCAGGUAACGAAACUGCGAAUAGCUCAUUAAUACGCUCAGAAUCUAUUUGGCGGCGACCAACAGGUCUUAAAUGGAUAGCAGCAGCAACUCUGGUGCUAAUACAUGCGAUUGUUUCUCCAGAUGUGAAUUAUGGAGGAAAAGUUGACCUCAUCAGAGGCACGCCAUUCGACUGAGUGACCUAUCAGCUUGUACUUAGGGUCUUUACCUAGGUAGGCUAUCACGGGUAACGGGCGGUUACCGUCGGACUGCCGGAGAAGGCGCCUGAGAGAUAGCGACUAUAUCCACGGGUAGCAGCAGGCGCGAAACUUUCCCACUCGAGACUUUCGGAGGAGGUAAUGACCAGUUCCAUUGGUGCCUUUUGGUACUGUGGAUAGGGGUACGGUUUUCCACCGUACCGAAACCUAGCAGAGGGCCAGUCUGGUGCCAGCAGCUGCGGUAAUUCCAGCUCUGCGAGUUUGCUCCCAUAUUGUUGCAGUUAAAACGCCCGUAGUCUGAAUUGGCCAGCAAUGGUCGUACGUAUUUUUACGUUCACUGUGAACAAAUCAGGACGCUUAGAGUAUGGCCACAU